RNAcentral lists this transfer RNA (72 nucleotides) under Schistocerca americana (American grasshopper). RNAcentral's name for it is "tRNA-Pro". It matches the Rfam family "tRNA". Rfam says of the family: Transfer RNA (tRNA) molecules are approximately 80 nucleotides in length. Their secondary structure includes four short double-helical elements and three loops (D, anti-codon, and T loops). The record is from RNAcentral. Lineage: Eukaryota; Metazoa; Arthropoda; Insecta; Orthoptera; Acrididae.
GGCCCGUUGGUCUAGGGGUAUGAUUCCUGCUUUGGGUGCAGGAGGUCCCGGGUUCAAAUCCCGGACAGGCCC